RNAcentral lists this ribosomal RNA (161 nucleotides) under uncultured bacterium. Its description in RNAcentral is "partial 16S rRNA". It matches the Rfam family "Bacterial small subunit ribosomal RNA", at positions 358 to 511 of the family's 1533-position model. The record is from RNAcentral.
GGAAUCUUCCACAAUGGACGCAAGUCUGAUGGAGCAACGCCGCGUGAGUGAAGAAGGUCUUCGGAUCGUAAAACUCUGUUGUUAAAGAAGAACACGUAUGAGAGUAACUGUUCAUACGUUGACGGUAUUUAACCAGAAAGUCNCGGCUAACUACGUGCCAG